UACAGAGGGGGCAAGCGUUAUUCGGAAUUACUGGGCGUAAAGCACGCGUAGGCGGCUCUUCAAGUCGAGUGUGAAAGCUCCAGGCUUAACCUGGGAAUUGCGCUCGAUACUGUUGAGCUAGAGUGUGGAAGGGGCUACUGGAAUUCCGUGUGUAGCAGUGAAAUGCGUAGAUAUACGGAGGAACACCAGCGGCGAAGGCGGGUAGCUGGGCCAACACUGACGCUAAAGUGCGAAAGCUAGGGGAGCAAACGGG
Molecule: ribosomal RNA, 253 nt
Filed under: uncultured bacterium
Lineage: Bacteria
Description: partial 16S ribosomal RNA
Rfam family: Bacterial small subunit ribosomal RNA
Source: RNAcentral